This 465-nucleotide ribosomal RNA is filed under the name Vreelandella stevensii. RNAcentral describes it as "partial 16S ribosomal RNA". It matches the Rfam family "Bacterial small subunit ribosomal RNA", at positions 338 to 795 of the family's 1533-position model. Lineage: Bacteria; Pseudomonadati; Pseudomonadota; Gammaproteobacteria; Oceanospirillales; Halomonadaceae. The record is from RNAcentral.
CCUACGGGUGGCAGCAGUGGGGAAUAUUGGACAAUGGGGGGAACCCUGAUCCAGCCAUGCCGCGUGUGUGAAGAAGGCCCUCGGGUUGUAAAGCACUUUCAGUGAGGAAGAACGCCUGGUGGUUAAUACCCAUCAGGAAAGACAUCACUCACAGAAGAAGCACCGGCUAACUCCGUGCCAGCAGCCGCGGUAAUACGGAGGGUGCGAGCGUUAAUCGGAAUUACUGGGCGUAAAGCGCGCGUAGGUGGCUUGAUAAGCCGGUUGUGAAAGCCCCGGGCUCAACCUGGGAACGGCAUCCGGAACUGUCAAGCUAGAGUGCAGGAGAGGAAGGUAGAAUUCCCGGUUUAGCGGUGAAAUGCGUAGAGAUCGGGAGGAAUACCAGUGGCGAAGGCGGCCUUCUGGACUGACACUGACACUGAGGUGCGAAAGUGUGGGUAGCAAACAGGAUUAGAUACCCGAGUAGUC